RNAcentral lists this non-coding RNA (771 nucleotides) under Abisara fylloides. Lineage: Eukaryota; Metazoa; Arthropoda; Insecta; Lepidoptera; Riodinidae. The record is from RNAcentral.
AUAAAAAAAAAUUGUGAUUUUACAAAUUUAUUUAAAAUUUAUUUUACAUAUAAAUUUUAGUAUGAAUUUUUAAUUAUUUAAAUAAUAAUUAUAAAAAUUGUAGUAAUUAGAUUUAAAAAUUUAAGAAAUUAAGAUUUAGUAAUAUUUAAAUUAGUAACAAAUUUUGUGCCAGCAGUUGCGGUUAUACAAAAAUUAAAUUAAAUUUUUUCAGUAUUUAAUAAAUAAUUAAUAAUUUAAAAUAAAUAUUAAAUUAUUAGGUGAAAUUUUAAUUUAAUAAAAAAUUAUAAAAUAAUUAUGAUUUAUUAAAUUUAUAAAUAAACUAGGAUUAGAUACCCUAUUAUAGAAUUUAUAAAAUAAUACUAAAAUAGUAUGUAAUAAUUUAUUGAAACUUAAUUAAGUUGGCGGUAUUUUAGUUCAUUUAGAGGAAUCUGUUUAAUAAUUGAUAAUCCACGAAUAAAUUUACUUAAUUUAAAAUUUUAUAUAUCGUUGUUAAAAAAAUAUUUUUUAAAAAAAAUAAUAUUUAAAAAUUUUUAUAAAAAUUAAUUCAGAUCAAGAUGUAGAUUAUAAUUAAGAAUAUAAUGGAUUACAAUAAAUUUAUUUAAAUAGAAAUAAGUUUUGAAAUAAACAAUUAAAAGUGGAUUUAAAUGUAAUUUUAUUUAAUUUAUUAAAAUGAUUAAAAAUUAAAAUAUGUACAUAUUGCCCGUCACUUUCAUUUAAAAAUUGAAAUAAGUCGUAACAAAGUAGAUGUACUGGAAAGUGUUUCUAGAAUAA